CCUUAGAGUUUGAUCCCUGGCUCAGAUUGAACGCUGGCGGCAUGCCUUACACAUGCAAGUCGAACGGCAGCGCGGGAGCAAUCCUGGCGGCGAGUGGCGAACGGGUGAGUAAUACAUCGGAACGUGCCCAAUCGUGGGGGAUAACGCAGCGAAAGCUGUGCUAAUACCGCAUACGAUCUACGGAUGAAAGCAGGGGAUCGCAAGACCUUGCGCGAAUGGAGCGGCCGAUGGCAGAUUAGGUAGUUGGUGAGGUAAAGGCUCACCAAGCCUUCGAUCUGUAGCUGGUCUGAGAGGACGACCAGCCACACUGGGACUGAGACACGGCCCAGACUCCUACGGGAGGCAGCAGUGGGGAAUUUUGGACAAUGGGCGCAAGCCUGAUCCAGCCAUGCCGCGUGCAGGAUGAAGGCCUUCGGGUUGUAAACUGCUUUUGUACGGAACGAAACGGCCUUUUCUAAUAAAGAGGGCUAAUGACGGUCC
This 480-nucleotide ribosomal RNA is filed under the name Variovorax sp. D10. RNAcentral's name for it is "bacterial SSU rRNA". It matches the Rfam family "Bacterial small subunit ribosomal RNA", at positions 1 to 478 of the family's 1533-position model. The record is from RNAcentral. Lineage: Bacteria; Pseudomonadati; Pseudomonadota; Betaproteobacteria; Burkholderiales; Comamonadaceae.